RNAcentral lists this ribosomal RNA (467 nucleotides) under uncultured bacterium. RNAcentral's name for it is "bacterial SSU rRNA". It matches the Rfam family "Bacterial small subunit ribosomal RNA", at positions 329 to 795 of the family's 1533-position model. The record is from RNAcentral.
UUCCAGACUCCUACGGGAGGCAGCAGUGAGGAAUAUUGGUCAAUGGCCGAGAGGCUGAACCAGCCAAGUCGCGUGAGGGAAGAAUGUCCUAUGGAUUGUAAACCUCUUUUGUCAGGGAGCAAAGUCACCCACGUGUGGGUGUUGGAGAGUACCUGAAGAAAAAGCAUCGGCUAACUCCGUGCCAGCAGCCGCGGUAAUACGGAGGAUGCGAGCGUUAUCCGGAUUUAUUGGGUUUAAAGGGUGCGUAGGCGGAUCGUUAAGGCGGUGGUCAAAGUGGGGGGCUCACCCCCUUCCCGCCAUUGAAACUGGCGCUCUUGAGUGGAAGAGAAGUAUGCGGAAUGCGUGGUGUAGCGGUGAAAUGCAUAGAUAUCACGCAGAACCCCGAUUGCGAGGGCAGCAUGCCGGCUUCCGACUGACGCUGAAGCACGAAAGCGUGGGGAUCGAACAGGAUUAGAUACCCCCGUAAC